AAGACAAAGGCAUCUCAGCAGUUGGUACCUCUUUAACUCUGAACUGGAAAAAAAUCAUCAUUCAGAAAUAAGAGUCCAGUUUGGUCUUGCACAUGGAAAUGUCUGUACAAAAGUGCCUGUAAACUGUCUGUCCCAGUAUCUACGCUAUCAUUAAGACAAGUUUGGGUUUAUCUUGUUUUGUUUUAACCUUCCAAAAGCUCACUAAAUGCUACUGACAUUCAAAACAUGGUCAAAGUAGUGAAAAAGAGAAGUUUAAAAAUUAGCAAUAUUUUAAUAUUAUCAAAAUAUAGUGUUUGCUGCAAAUACCUUCUGCCUUGCUUAAACAUGAAACCCAAUUUUUUUUAAAUAUGUGUUUGGAGAACACACAUAGCAGUGAACAAACCAGCCCAGGUGAAUGAUGUUUUAAAGGCUCACUAUUUCAAUAAUUUCCUUCAACCCAACAGUACUUCAAUAAGGAAAUAACAGAAGAAAUCAUUCUUUUUACCUUCAGGUGUCAUAUAAACAUAUUUAGUGAAAGAUCUCUCUGUAAAUAAUUUUUCUAAGAGAAAAGACUCUUGAGUUUCCUAAGCAUUUAUGGUUUCACAAGCUGUUUCCAAGUCAUUCAUUUAUCCAAGGAUGAAUGAACCUAACAAGGAUCCAUGUUCUAGCAAUUUUGAUUUAAAAGCAACAAUAAAUUAAAUUUCUUUGUAAA
Long non-coding RNA from Pezoporus occidentalis (night parrot), 691 nucleotides. RefSeq lists it as uncharacterized. The record is from RefSeq and is a predicted model, not a curated record. The transcript is spliced from 2 exons. Lineage: Eukaryota; Metazoa; Chordata; Aves; Psittaciformes; Psittacidae.